This 975-nucleotide ribosomal RNA is filed under the name Triticum aestivum (bread wheat). Its description in RNAcentral is "partial small subunit ribosomal RNA". The record is from RNAcentral. Lineage: Eukaryota; Viridiplantae; Streptophyta; Magnoliopsida; Poales; Poaceae.
AUGGCCGCCUCCUACAUAGCACUCUUGCUCAUCCUCGCCGCAGUUGCCCCACGCCCCUCCUCCGCGCGGCACGUCGUCUCCUUCAUCCCUAGUCGCGGCGUCUCCCCCUCCUCCCUGGCCUGGGACCCCACCGCUCAGCACUUCGUCGUCGCCGGCGGAGGCGACGCCGUCCUUUCCGUAUCCGACGCCGGCGUGACCGAAUUGAUCGCGUCCCCCGGUGCCUCCGCAGUCGCCGUUGACGACCGCCGCCGUCGCCUCAUAGUAGCGUCCGCCGGUUCCGUCUCCGCUUUCGACCUCCGCACCCCUCGGCCCCAUCGCCUCCUCUUCUCCACCACGCUCCCCGACCCCGCCGCGCCCGGCGGCGUCGCCGUGGACCCACAAUCUGGCGUCGCCUUCCUCACCUUGGGCGCCCAAAUCUACAGCCUUUCCACUGACGGCGACCUCGCCGCGCUCCCUGCUUCGCCCGUCUAUGGCUCGGAGCCCCUUUCCUCCCUCGCCGCACACGUGAGCCGGGGGUUCCUCCUCGUCGGCCGUCCCAGCACCGGCCACCUCCUCCGCGUCGACAUGGAGGACGGAUCCGCAAGAGACGUUUCAGGGCCCUUUACGCCCCCCACGCCGGUCGCCGUCGCGGUGCGGAGCGAUGGGAUGGUGGCGGUGGGCGGGGCCGCGACUCUGCGCCUGGUCGGGAGCAACGACGGGUGGGUGUCUUGCGCGGAGCAUGACGUGGGGGAACCGGACGGCUCCGUCGCGGCGGUGGCGGUGGCGGUAAGGGAGCGGAAGCGGGUGUACGCGCUGGUGGAGGCGGAGGUGGAGGGGAAGAGGGAAUGGCGGAUCGAGGAGGUGGAGUGGAAAAAGGAGGGGGAGGGGGAGAUGGUGGCGCUGUUAAUCUUGGUCGGCGCCGCCCUCGCCAUCUUCAUGUUCUGGAGGUUCCAGAUGCGGCAGCUCGCCGGCAACAUGAACAAGAAGAUCAGAUAG